GCACCUAAUAUUUCAUGAGAUUGCAUUUAUUUCAAUUGUUCAAUGAAAUAACAUGUAAAAAAUGAUCUAAUGCACUACAUUUUAUUAUUUGUCAACUUGCAAUCUCACUUUUUUUUUGUGUUCUAAUUUAUUUGUCCUAUUAAAAAACAACAAAAAUCUCAAUGGAAAAUAAAUCAUACUUAUAAAAAAGUUACAUCUUACCUAUUUGCUGUAAAAAAAAAAUCAUUUCUCUCCAGUUAGGCAACCAGUAGUCGGGAAAUAUGUGAAAUUUUGUCAACCCACGCUUUUCAUUGAUUUUUAGUAGCAUCUAAAAAUAUAUUGUUAAACUCUUUAAUUGCUUGAUCAAAUGAAGGACCAUCAAAUAAAAAUGAAAGAGCUUUAUUACUGUAAAAUUUCUUCACUCUAAGAAAGCAAUACCUAGAAGGUCCACCGCUAUCAUCACAGUUGGUCGGCGUCUCGUAGAUUAGAGCAUAUUGAUACCUGCAACAAAAUAGUCCUUAUUAAAAGUACGCCAUAAGAAAAAAUGGUCAAAUAAAGUAAAAGAAAUUUUGUUGGCUCUGAUACCACAGUAUAAGAACAGAGCAAGAGACUUCACGAAAAUAUGGUUUGACUAGUUUUGGAGCGACGGACAUCUGUUUAAGGUGUUAGAGUGGUGUUGGAGCCGGUUAUGGAAUUUUGGAGCAAGGUAAGUCUCUUGUCUAACCCUGUGAGGGGAAAUUUACACCGUAGGUGUAAUAUUCUUAUGUGCUACAUGUUGUGGGAGCUACACACAUAUGAGGUGACGAGUGUUUGUGCGUAUGCUAGAAUUCCUGAUUAUGUUCGGGUAGACUUAGGUUCCUGCAUGCUAUAAUUGUACUUGCUCGAUUAAUUUCUUUAUUUCAUGUUACGACUUGAGACUAGACUUGCAUAGGGUGAUAGACUCGCUAUUGUAGAGAUGUGAUGAGCUACUUGAUAAUCUGCGGAAUAAUUAGAGCUUCCCUUAUGAAUUCCUCCCGCAUUGUGCGUUUUCAUCGCAAAGCUUUCCUUAAAGUUCAUAACUCACACGUUUAUUCGUGAGUGGGGUCAAGGACCCGUUAAAACUUCUUAAUCUAAUAGGAUCUGGCCGAUCGCCUCGGCAAGAUUAUGUACUACACUCUCAUAGGAGCGCAUUGUUCGCCUCGGCAGUAUAAUAGAUGCAUCUAUGGUUCUUGUCGUUCGACCCUCGGUGAUGUACAUAUUAUUAUGGGAUCGGGUUGUACGUCUAGGCAUUUCUAUAAAAUACUCUUAUGGGAUCGGUUUGUUCGCCUCAGUAGCGUCGUGAGUAAUAUAUUACAAGAAACCAGCGUAUCUGUGUGUUUUCCUUAUUUGAGUUAUGACGACCUAUCUGCGAGGUCCAUUUUAUAUAUACUCCGGUUGAGGAGGGUAACUGAUAGUUGAGAGCUUAAAUCUACUAUUUAGAGGAGGAUUGUACCACGUACAUAUAUUUGUUUAUACUGUUUAUUACCCUGUCAUAUAUUUGUUUACUUCCUACUGUAUUUGAGUUAUUAUACCACUAGUAAGUGUCGAUGUCGACCUCUCGUCACUACUUCUCCGGGGUUAGUCUAGAUACUUACUGGGUACGCGUUAAUUUACGUACUCAUGCUACAUUUGUUGCACUUAUUAUGCAGGUACAUAUAUAUGUUUGGUGGUCUUUUGGGCACAAAGGUGCGGCUGUUGCGGGGACUUUACGGUGAGUUGCAUUCCAUGUUACUAUCCGCAGCAUAAGGAGUCUCCAUUAGAGUUAUUUAUAUUCUCCUGCCUAACUUGUAUUCCAGAAAGAUGUUUAUUAUUAUUGUACUCCUUAGUAGAUGCUCAUGCACUUGUGACACCAGGUUUUGGGGGUUCCUACUGGAUGUUCGUUGUUGUAGUUCACGUAAUUGUUACCAUUUCACCUUGUAAUUUAUAUUUUAUACGAAAAUUGGAAAAUAAAAUCACGGGUUUUCUACGAGUACCAGAUUUUACUCUACUUAUUUAAUGGGAUUCAUGAUUCUAAAAAUAAUAAAAUGAGUAACUAAGUUGAUUAAUCAUCGCUGGCUUGCCUGAUGGCGGCGUUAGGCGCCAUCACGACCUACAGUGAAUUUUGAGUCGUGACAUAAAGUAUAAAAACAAAGAAAUGACAAAUAAUUAGAGAUAUAGAAUACCUUUUUGCUUAUGGUAGAUAUCCUCUGCAGUGACGUGGUGCUGAAUCAACAUUUCAUGCUCUUUACCUCCUAGAAUUAAAAUUUAGCCUGGGGGAUACUUCUGUCAUUUUCAAUAUUCAGUUGAUUGCUGAUUCUACGCUUUCUAGGGCUCUCAAGUGGGCUUGGUCUGCCCGGUCCCGUCCUAGGUCCAUUCCCGAUCUUGUCUCGGGUCCAAUCCGAUCUCGACCAAUCCUGUGGUACCGAUAGAGUAAUUGGAUGGGGAGUAGGCAAUCUCGAAAAGGGGAUGGGAUAUGGUGUUGGUCCUGUUUGAACCGGCUCGGUUGGCCUGCUUCUAGUCCAGAUCGAUCUCAUCCUGGCCUAGACCGGGCUCGACUAAUAAAGUAUUUUGUUAAAAAUUUCUGGCAGAAAAUAGCCAUUAUCCAAUGGCUAUUUUGUACCUACCAAAAUGGUCCACCAAAAUACCUCAUACAUGAUGGUAGGCUAUAAUCUCGUAUUUUAGUCGCUUAUUGUACUCCAAUUUACUGUACUUUAUUCGUUUUGAGCUUUAAUUGAUAGUGUUCUUCACUAAUUGUAUGUUGUAUGCCUUGCAGGAGUGAUUCCGAGCUAUGUAGAUGUUAUAGAAUGAAUUCGAGUAAUUUGGAGCUUUGAAGUCUGAGUAAAAUCCCAAGGGAUUAAGCCGGGAUCAUGUUCGGGGGUCGAGGACCAAGUCUGAACGUCAAAAAUUGAGAUUUGAGUUGUACUCCGAGAAAAGUGCACUAGUGCGGCACGUGGAGCGCCGCGGCUGUGCAAAUUUCCUGCUGAUUGUCAGAACUAGCUCUCUGGAUUUCCCCACUAAUGCCCCGCAUGACGCGUCUCCCCAUGCGGCACGCCUGUGCAAUUUUUACAGAGUAACAAUCCUAUUUCGACUAGGGGAAGGUGAUUUCCUCUGGUCCCGACCCUACUUGGUAUAAAUACAUAAAAAAAUAUUAUUUUCUAGACUUUUGACAUACUUUAAACCUAAGGAGGCUAAGUAGGAGUUGGAAGAAUACGAGCACAAGGAUUUCAUCAUUCCUUCCUCACUCAAAACCCGAGUUUGGAUCGAAUUUAUGUUUUUCUAUACUUUAAUUAUAUCUGUGAUGAAUUAAUCCAUAUCUAUGGAGUAGUUCUCUUUAGGGUUUGAUGGAUUUGGUAUAUUGAUGAUUGUUUGUGGAUUAUAACUCUAGUUUUAUGUAUUGAAGCAUUUUUGGAUGAUUUAAUUGUUGCAUCUAUAUUUAGCUGUUCAUGUAAUCGAGAGAGGCAUAACUUUUGAUAUCUUUGCGUUAUAUUGGUUGUUGAGUUCAUUAAUUCUUCUUAGUAAUCGAAAGUGGCUAGUUGAAUCAUUGAUUAAAUCUAGUUAGGAGGAUAAUUGAGAGAGGUUCUCCUAAAGACCAUUCCACUACGCAUUCUUGCAUAUCUUCACGUGCUUAAAUUGGUUCAUCUUGUGAGGUUAAGACUUAAUCGAGAGAGGAAUUUUUGCUGAACGUUUGAACUAAUAAUUAAGUAAAUUCGAGAGACUCACUUAAACAUUAGAAGUGAAUUAUCUAGAGUUAGAUCCCAAACAAUUAUCUUGCACCUAUCCUAUCAACCCCUAUUUUCUCCCAUUGAUAGCUUUCUUGCUUAUCUUUGUUGCAAUAGUCAUUAGUCAAUAGCUUUAGAUUCUUAGCAAAUUUUAGUUAUUAAUCAUAUAAAUCUCAAUUGUUGAUUCUACUGGAUAGCAAUCAAGCUAGAAACUGUGAAAAUAUUGUUUAACUCUAAUCCUUGUGGAUACAAUAUUAUACUAUACUAUCUUUGACUAGCGAGCAUAAUUUAAAUGUGUGUUUCGAGCUCGUCAAUACACUACACAAUUUAUUUUUAAUCCCUAAGUUUAUAAAAUUAUAUAAUUUUAAUCUAUAAAUACCUCUUCAUAUUCUUUAUUUUUUUUUUUACAAAAAACUCUCCAUUAUCUUUCUAAUCUCGCUCUCUCUCUUUCUAAAAUUACUAUUGUGCAUUAAAAUAGUAGAGUUAUUUUUGGUACUAUUUGAUGCUACUUUUUCUUUUACUUGUUAUUUUUGUUGUUGUUGUUGCUAUUCUUGUUGUUUUUGUUGUUGUUGUUGUCUUUUUUUCCUUCUCCUUAUCGUCCUUUGUCUCCCUAUUCUUUCUUUAUUCUUCUUCGUCUUCUUCACUUCUCUCUCUUUUCACCUUUUCUUGAGCCGAAGGUCUAUCGGAAACAGCCUCUCUACCUGGUCAGGUAGGGGUAAGAUCUGUGUACACACUAUCCUCUCCAGACCCCACUUGUGAGAUUAUAUUGGGUAUGUUGUUGUUGUAUUUUUGGUUAAUUAAAGUAUUGAAGUUAUUUUGACUAAUUAAUAUUAAUUUUUUGGAAAUUACGAGUUAAGUUGGUAACUAGUUUGGGGUCGAUUUAGCAAGUUUCAACUAUCAACAUCAAUUAUAUGAUGUCGUUCAGUACAAUCUCCUAUCUCUAUCUCUUUAAUUAUUGUUAUAUAAUUUUAAUAAUAGUACUUACAACAACAACAAUAACAACAUACUCAGUAUAAUUCCACAAAUGAGGUCUGGGGAGGGUAGUGUGUACGCAGACCUUACCCCUACUUGGAAAGCUAGAAAGGUUAUUUCCGAUAGACACUCGGCUCAAGAUAAGGUGGAAAGGAAGAAAAUGGAAAAUGAGAAGAAGAAGAAAGGGGGGGGGGGGGGAAAGAAAGAUGAGGGAGACAAAAGACGAUAAGGAAAAAUAGGAUAAAAAGUAGCAUCAGAUAUUAACAAUCAGGGAGCGACAAUUUUCAGUAGCAAUUUUCAAGUAUCUUGGGUCUAUAAUCCAAGGCAACGGGGAGCAUGGAUGAGGAAGAGUAGAGGUCGUAUAGGGAGUGUUAUAAGAAGGCAAGGAGAGAGGCGAAGCUCGCGGUCACGGCGGCUAAGACUGCAGCUUUUGAAAGAUUGUAUGAUGAUAUUGGGGGCAAAUGAGGGGAUAGGAAGUUGUACAAGUUAGCCAAGAUUAGGGAGAGAAAGGCUCGGGAAUUGGAUCGAGUGAGGUGCAUCAAAGACAAAGAUGGUAAGGUAUUAGUGGAAGAGGCAUGUAUCAGGCGUAGAUGGCAGGAGUACUUCCAUAGACUUGUAAACGAGGAAGGGGAUAGGAACAUCGUGUUGGGCGAGUUGGAGAACUCUAAGAGUCGAGAGAUUUUGGGUUUUGUAGACGUAUUAAGUGCGAGGAGAUUGAUGUGGCAAUACGGAAGAUGAGCAGAGGUAAGGUGACUGGUCCUGACGAGAUCCCAGUGAAAUUUUGGAAAGUGGCGGGUAGGGUAGGCUUGGAGUGGCUUACUAGCCUGUUUAACGUCAUUUUCAAGACGAAGAUUGGAGGUGGAAUUUGAUGAUUUUGUUGUACAAAAACAAAGGUGAUAUCCAGAACUGCAAUAAUUAUAGGGGUGUCAAGCUACUGAGUCACACUAUGAAGGUUUGGGAGAGGGUGGUGGAGCAGAGAGUGAGGACAGGUGCAUCUAUCUCUGAGAACCAGUUCGGAUUUAUGUUGGGAUGGUCAACUACAUAAGCCAUUAGCUUCAAAUACAUCGCUUUCUUAGCUUUCACUUUUCCUUGGACCUUCCCAUUCCACCACCAAUCCCUUUUGUGGUUUAACAAUAGUACUUAGUUUUAUUAUAAUGUCUAAUUGUUUUAGUGGAAAUAGAGGUUAGGGAAGGGUCGGUGAAUCUAGUAAUACUAAUCCUAUAGAUGAUUAUACUCACGUAGAUAAAAUCGAUUAUUUUAAUAUUAAUCCUAAUGGGCAAUCACUAGAUCACGAACUCAAAGGCUGUAGAAUUUGGUGAAUAUAAUGAAGAAAAUUUAGAUGAUGAUAUACCACUAGUCCAAAUCCAACAACAACUUCAACUUAGACUCAAUCUCCGUCUGGACCACCUCCUAUACCUCCCACUAAAAGUAGAUUGUAUUAUACUUUUUUUCUCAUUCAUAUUGAAAAAAAAUUCUGCUUCUGUUCCGAGAAUUAUACUUAGUCGAACCUCGUUAAAUUCUUGUGUUAUUUUUUUCUAUUUGUUUUACGUGUGAAUGUGUGCUAGUUAAUCCGCGAUCUUCUGUGAUAUUUAAAGUUGAACCAGAUAAAUUCAAACUAGCAAACACUUUACUUCCUCCAGUGGACUAUUAGGUUAACUAAACAAAGCAAAGGGUAUAUAUUUUCAUUUUGUUUUUCUACAGUUGUUAGCUUUAUUCAUCUUGUAUUACCACUUACCACCAAAAACUAUUCUUUAAAUCGUCAAUCUUCAAAAUAUAAAAGCAACUAUCCAAACACAUUAGUAUAUUUUUUCAACAAAACGUUCCUCAAAAACUUUUUUCCAACAGUUAUCUAAACGACUCGAAGAAGUUUCAAAAGCCAAAAUGAGAAGUUGGGUUUUUUUCCGCUCAAAUAAUGUCUUCUAUUGCUAAUGUAUAAGUUGAUAAUAUAAGAUUUCUUGUACAUGCAUCAAUAUUUUGGGAAUUAUGCUAACUUUAGAAUCCAUUCAAUAAAAGUAUGGUUUUCUUAAUAAAAUACACCAUAGAUGUAUUUUCACUCUCUAUGACCAACACCCUGCUUCCAACACAAUACAAGGAGGGACAUGGUAAUGGCUGAGAGGAUUCCACUUGGCAGCACAUAGACCACUAGCCUAGGAAUUAAUCAAGGGUGUCCCUCGGACAAGGGAUAAUACAUAAUUACCCCAUUGAUGUUGUUCUACUUUAUCAGUUGCACCGUCAAACUUUACGGGAGUCCUAUGAUCUCUUAUCUUUGUUCGAAGUGGUAUAAGUACCACCUUUUGAGCCCACGUGGCAUCUAAAUUAUUUUUCACGAAAUUUUAGCGCGUGGAAUGGAAAAACAACUCCCAACUCUGUUUAUUUAUCAUUUUCACUUUUUUUAAUUUAAUAUCCUUUUACUUUUUCUUUUUUUUUUUCUUCUAUUUCUUCUCUUCAUCUUUCUCCUUAACAAAAUACCCAACAGAAGCCAAUGCCUAGCACUAAGAAGUCAUGUUAACUGGAAAAAAAAUCCAACGCUAAAGACCAACAAAUUAGCAAUAACCCAAUGAAAAAAGAUACCAAGUGGGGAUAUAUAAAACUGAGGAAGGGAUUUCAGUUUUGAAAAAAAAAUUACCAUUUUUUCCGAUGACUAUCUCGUCGGACUUUUUCACCUUUUAUGAAUGUUAUAACUCCUAAUUCUUUGGUAGCGGACCUCUUUGAUAGUUCGACCGUUAUCCCCCGUUUCGCCGUUUCUGUUACAAAAAUUCUUCCCAUCCAUCCUAAAAAUCAUCUUUAGUGCCUUGUUUCUCUUCUUUUCUUUUUCUUUUUCUUUUCGUAAUUUUUCACCGGAAAAAAUGGCCGGUGAGUUCGGCGUAUUUUAAAUAAUGAGGGAAUAUUUAAAAGGGAAGAAGAAAUGAGUAGGGAGGUGGAAUGGAACUAAGAAUCCAAAAGAAAAAUAUAUUCAGUUGGGGGCGGGACGAUGAAGGAGACUUAAAGG
Molecule: long non-coding RNA, 7656 nt
Filed under: Nicotiana tabacum (common tobacco)
Lineage: Eukaryota; Viridiplantae; Streptophyta; Magnoliopsida; Solanales; Solanaceae
Description: long non-coding RNA (NTAB_LNC016803)
Source: RNAcentral